GAACGUAAAUUUAUCAACAAGAAAAGGGAGUAAAAUACCAUCCAUAUCUUCCAUAAUUACAACUUUGCCAUUGCUUCUUUGUCGUUAUACAAAGCAUAACCUUUCUAUUUGAAUUAUGGGUAAUAAAGGAAAUAUAUGCCUUAUAUUUGGGCCCAGGGCCCAUCUCUCUCCCGCUAUUAAUGACGUGUCACUAGGGUCGGUUACUGAAUCCCAAAGAAACCCACUGCGAUAACUUUUUGAGAAUGCACAUCUGUUCCUUUGGUUCUCUCAUCGACGUUCUUUCUUCUUCUUGAUGCUGAAGGGAAAGUCAAGAGCUGCUAAGCUUAAUUGUAUACCAGAGGAUUUGGAGGGCUACGUGACUCGCCAUUUCCUCAUUUUUGUUCCCAUUUCUGGUUCAAUUUUUACCAUUUAUCUUCCACUAGCAUAUUUUCUAUUGAGUUGAAAUUUUUUGGCUGGGAUUUGCUUUCUCUGGUUUGUCUAGUUUUACGGCUCUUAUAUCUCUCUGUUUUGUUCGUAGACCUUUUGAAUGCUCCGCUCUACAAUGCAGGAUUCAUUGGCGAUUUCUCAUUUAUAGGUUUGGAUUUGCUUUUCGCAUUCCUGGAUUUGUUAAGGUCUUCGAAAGGAAAGGAGCCUGCAAGUGAGAUUUAGAUAGCGGUUGAGGAUGGGGUGGUUUUGGAUUUGCCUUGGGUAGAGAGAAAAUGGGAAGUGAGACACGGAAGAUCAGAGGAGAGUGAAAGAUACAAUGGUC
RNAcentral lists this unclassified non-coding RNA (748 nucleotides) under Hevea brasiliensis (rubber tree). The record is from RNAcentral. Lineage: Eukaryota; Viridiplantae; Streptophyta; Magnoliopsida; Malpighiales; Euphorbiaceae.